This 391-nucleotide unclassified non-coding RNA is filed under the name soil metagenome. RNAcentral describes it as "partial contains 5.8S ribosomal RNA, internal transcribed spacer 2, and large subunit ribosomal RNA". The stretch from base 1 to 122 matches the Rfam family "5.8S ribosomal RNA", at positions 35 to 154 of the family's 154-position model. The record is from RNAcentral.
GAUGAAGAACGUAGUGAAAUGCGAUACUUGGUGUGAAUUGCAGAAUCCCGUGAACCAUCGAGUCUUUGAGCGCAAGUUGCGCCCGAAGCCAUUAGGCCGAGGGCACGCCUGCCUGGGCGUCACACGUCGUUGCCCCCCCAUCUACUCCUUCGGGAUUGCGGGGGGCGGAUGAUGGCCUCCCGUGCGCCUCGUCGCGCGGUUGGCAUAAAUGCCAAGUCCUCGGCGACGCACGCCACGACAAUCGGUGGUUGCGAAACCUCGGUUGCCCGUCGUGUGCGGUCGUCGCGCAUCGAGGGCUCGAAAAAAUUGCCGGGCUCCGGCUCGGCUUUCAACGCGACCCCAGGUCAGGCGGGGUUACCCGCUGAAUUUAAGCAUAUCAAUAAGCGGAGGA